This 71-nucleotide transfer RNA is filed under the name Marmota monax (woodchuck). RNAcentral's name for it is "tRNA.Glu". It matches the Rfam family "tRNA". From Rfam's summary of the family: Transfer RNA (tRNA) molecules are approximately 80 nucleotides in length. Lineage: Eukaryota; Metazoa; Chordata; Mammalia; Rodentia; Sciuridae. The record is from RNAcentral.
GGGGUUGUAGCUCAGUGGUAGAGUACUUGCCUCUCAGGUAUGAGGCCCUGGGUUCGAUCCACAGCACCACA